RNAcentral lists this ribosomal RNA (459 nucleotides) under uncultured bacterium. RNAcentral's name for it is "partial 16S ribosomal RNA". It matches the Rfam family "Bacterial small subunit ribosomal RNA", at positions 338 to 795 of the family's 1533-position model. The record is from RNAcentral.
CCUACGGGGUGCAGCAGUGAGGAAUAUUGGUCAAUGGCCGGGAGGCUGAACCAGCCAAGUCGCGUGAGGGAAGACGGCCCUACGGGUUGUAAACCUCUUUUGUCAGGGAGCAAGGUGCAGGUCGGGACCUGCUGCGAGAGUACCUGAAGAAAAAGCAUCGGCUAACUCCGUGCCAGCAGCCGCGGUAAUACGGAGGAUGCGAGCGUUAUCCGGAUUUAUUGGGUUUAAAGGGUGCGUAGGCGGAAUAUCAAGUCAGCGGUAAAAAUUCGGGGCUCAACCCCGUCGUGCCGUUGAAACUGAUGUUCUUGAGUGGGCGAGAAGUAUGCGGAAUGCGUGGUGUAGCGGUGAAAUGCAUAGAUAUCACGCAGAACUCCGAUUGCGAAGGCAGCAUACCGGCGCCCAACUGACGCUGAAGCACGAAAGCGUGGGUAUCGAACAGGAUUAGAUACCCGAGUAGUC